CACGCUGUAAACGAUGAUUACUAGGUGUGGGGGGACUGACCCCUUCCGUGCCGGAGUUAACACAAUAAGUAAUCCACCUGGGGAGUACGGCCGCAAGGUUGAAACUCAAAGGAAUUGACGGGGGCCCGCACAAGCAGUGGAGUAUGUGGUUUAAUUCGAAGCAACGCGAAGAACCUUACCAGGUCUUGACAUCGAGUGAAGAACGCAGAGAUGUGUUCGUCCUUCGGGACACAAAGACAGGUGG
This 244-nucleotide ribosomal RNA is filed under the name uncultured Oscillospiraceae bacterium. Its description in RNAcentral is "partial 16S ribosomal RNA". It matches the Rfam family "Bacterial small subunit ribosomal RNA", at positions 796 to 1041 of the family's 1533-position model. The record is from RNAcentral. Lineage: Bacteria; Bacillati; Bacillota; Clostridia; Eubacteriales; Oscillospiraceae.